UUAUGAGGAAAACAGGUGGAACCUCGAAGAUCGAACGAGAGGACUCAUUCUUUGGCUUUGUGGAUUGGUUUCGAAACUUUCGAGUUUCUUAGUCUAAUUCGUGGACCGGGGAUGCUCUUCCUUUCUUGUAGGUCGCCGCGACCCGUUCGCAUUGCUGUCUAUGGUUCUGGUUGGUGGAACUGCUCCUUGUGAGCGGGGACCUCUAGUUUUCCUGACUGGCACGCGGACGGUCUUACAGAGCAAGAUCAGGGUCCACCUUGUGUGGACGUCUCUUUACCGAGACACCUGUGAUAGCUUUUCAGCGGCGUUUAGGUCGGUGAUUCACCUGACCC
This 332-nucleotide ribosomal RNA is filed under the name Gomphus vulgatissimus (common clubtail). Its description in RNAcentral is "partial 28S ribosomal RNA". RNAcentral also lists the same sequence under 3 other names. The record is from RNAcentral. Lineage: Eukaryota; Metazoa; Arthropoda; Insecta; Odonata; Gomphidae.